UGCACAGCAGGAUGAAGAUCACAACGGCUAUCAGACCUGGGGAGGGAAGAGGAGACAGCGCCACAUCAGAAUGUGUGUCCACACAGAAACCCUACUGCCUUCAUGGCUUAGCACCUAAGCAAGAUUUACAUAAAGGAUUCCUGACACACUGGAAACUGUUCCUACAACUCUCCAGUGGAGACUGAGUGGCUGUCCCUACUGUUGAUGACAGACAUUAUUGACAGCUGGCCUCAUCUCCCUGCAGUGAUCUGAGGUACCUCCUGGCUCUCUGACCCCGGACGAGAGGAAUAAUCACUGAUCAAGACCUCCACUAUGCAGAAUGAUGAGGAACAAGGGGCAGAGAGAAUUCCAGGGACCACCCCAUGGGCACAGCUGAGAAAUAUUAAAAUAAAC
Molecule: long non-coding RNA, 393 nt
Organism: Suricata suricatta (meerkat)
Lineage: Eukaryota; Metazoa; Chordata; Mammalia; Carnivora; Herpestidae
Exons: 3
Source: RefSeq, a predicted model, not a curated record